UAUUUAUAUGAAACACCACAUCUUAUUGAUCAUUUAAUAAAUACGAAGUCAAUCCACACCGCUACAACCUUCUGAUAACUGGACAACCCCCUCAACCUCCUGAGCUACUGCUGCUACCUGGACUAAAACAUCUGCCAGCUCCUGGACUGUCUGUGGUGCAACGUGGUGUUGGUGGAUGGAGCGAGACAUGAUGUCCUAGAUGUGUUCAACUGGACUCGGGUCUGGGAAACGGGCGGAGCAGUCUAUAGCAUCAAUGCCUUGCUCUUGCAGAAACUGCUGACACACUUUAGCCAUGGGGUCCAACAUUGUCUCACAUUAGGAGGAACCCAGGGCCAACCGCAUCAGCAUGUGGUCUCACGGCAGUCUGACCACCUCUGGUGAGCACAACUCAGGUGUGUUCCCCCGUUUUCUUAUUUUAAUGCAUUUUUAAAGUAUUGGAUAUCGGCAGCCACUCAUAAUUAAGUGACAUGAACAGAAAAUGUGUUGGUAUCUAUGAACAUUUUGAUAAAAUAUUAAAUAAAUGUUCCGACCUUGAUGCCACGAGGGCCAGGAUAGCCGAUGGCUCCUUGAGGACCGUUGGGACCCUGGAGAUGAUCAGGAAGAUGAGUUAGAAGCAUAAGACAACUAAAACCACAAAGAUCUACUCUAAUUAUUCUAAAUACACACAGAAAAAAGUUUAGGAUGAAACAGAUUAGGUGGUUUAAAUCGACACCUACCUGGUUUCCUUUAGUGCCUGACGGACCCUCCUUUCCUGGGUGACCCUGAGAACAGAAAAUGGGGCUUGAGUCUCUGGACAAAUAAAAAUACAUAAAAUCAUAUUUAAUAUUUUAAAAGGGAAACUUACAGGAGGGCCGUCCGCUCCAGGCAUUCCUGGUAAACCCGGUUUUCCAGUGGGACCCUAGAAAGAAGCACAAAGUGGUCAUGAGCUUAAUCCGAGUACCGUAUUUUCCGGACUAUAAGCCGCUACUUUUUCCCCACGCUUUGAACCCUGUGGCUUAUAAUGAGGUGCGGCUUUACUGAAGAUUUUCCUUCACCUGCCACUAGGGGGCGCUUUAACAGGAAGUGAAACAGGUGGAAGUCAAAAGUGGAAAUCGAGGAAAGUGCUCAUUUUAAUUUAGCACAUGCAAGCAGCCGGCACCACGAAGAAUUUUUUUCACAUCCAUACCCCCUCAUCAUGGUAACUACACGUAUGAGUUCAUAUGAUGCUGCAUUUAAGCUGAAGGCCAUCAAUCUGGCAGUAAAGGAGGGAAACAGUGCUUGUAACUGCAGUUGCUGUUUAUUUCUUCAUUUAUUUAUUUUCCCAUUUGUAAGACACUGGGUUAGUUGUGUUUCCUGUAAUUUUAUUUUGAAAAGCGACAUGAGCUGCUCUGCCAGCCACACCCUUGAUUUGAUGGAUACAAGCCAGGUGUGAGGAACACAGAACCUGGAUGAAGUGCUAACAAGCAGACAGCUAAUGGACUGCUAAAGAACUAACUAGUAAAAGGACUUAAAGGAAACUAGUAAAAGGACUUAAAGGAAGAUGGAUUCCCUUUGUGUUUUAAGCAAACAGCCAACGAGGUAUUUAUUUGUCUUUAUUUUAUUGCACAUUAUUGUAUAUGUUUUAAUUGUACUAUCCUGUAUUUAGUUUCACGGUUUAAGAGAGGUCUAAAGAAAGGAGGACAGAAGAGGUCCACAAUGAAAAGACGUCCAAUAAACCCGUAAAAGAAAUCACUUGCGUCUGUGUUGCUUGGAGGGAAUCAUAGUGAAACUCGUCUGUUGUCAGCAAACGCCAGUGAAGUAACAAGGACCAGAUGAUCUUCAUCUCUUGGACAACAGUGCAUGGACUGGCAGAUAAGUGGCCUAUUCACACAUAAUUGAAGAAGACAAUAAAGACUUUUGGUGGAAGACUCUUUUGCAACAAGAAACUUGGUUGAUGAAAAGAUUGCUGAUCCAAAUUGAUGUUACCAGUGAUUUGUUUGAGUACAUAUUGAACUGAAACUUGCUUUAUUGUUGCAUGUUAUCCAAAGGUCAAAGGAAAUGUAAUUUGUUGCAUAUUUAAUACUUGAAAGGUCAAGGUGUUUCAGUAGAGUGUAACAAUUGAGUUUGAAAUUCUAUGCAAGUUUAUUUCAUUCUUAAAAUCAACAUUUCCUAGCUAGAUAAUUGUUCAGCCAUGUCAGAAAGAAAUGAGCCUGCAGAUGAGGAUGAAGAUAGUGCAGAGCCACUGCGAGAGGAAGAGCAGCUGCUCAGACGUGGGGCACGCCAACGUACUCUAACAGAGAAGGGCAAGGCACUACAAGAAGAGAAAAUUAAAGCUCUUACACAAAGAUUUAACUACAUUUACAAAAAAUGGAAAGCACAUGUUAAAUUCUUUAAACAUUCGUCAAAACAGUCCUCAGAGCCUUUAUCAGAGGGUCUACUUAAUGAUAUCUUGGGGGAGGUUAAAGGGCUUUGUGCCGACAUCCAGCGUGUUUAUGAAGAUCUGCGCAAACUCUCAACUCCAGAUCAAGAAACACGGAGAAGAGUAGAUUUGUGUGUGGAGAUUUCAAACUUCAUCCUUUCUAAAGCUUCACGUCACCUGGAAGGACAAGCGCAGGAAGAGGAGCAGGUUUGGCCAGAAGCUGGCUCCUUUUGGAGCACAAGUAAAAGUGAAACAGAAUCCAUCACCUCCGUCAUGAAGAGCGCCACCUCUGAGCAUUCAAAAACUUCUUCAGUAAAGAGGCAAGAAGCAGCUGCGGACGCUGCAGCAAGCCAAGCUGUUCUAAAAGUGUUAAAGGAACAAGAAAGAGAACAGUUGGAAUUACAUCGCCUGGAAGCAGAAGCCAAGAAGAGGAUAGCAGCUCAAGAGGCAGCAGCUAAACAGCGGCGCUUAGAGCAAGAGGAAGAAGAGGUGAGGAGGAGAAAAAAGAAAGAAGAGGAAGAAGCUACAAUGACAGCUAAAGUAGAAGAAGAACACACAGCUCUACAAAUGGCUCUAGAAGAGAAACGAAGGAGAAUCAACCAUCUAGAAACCAUGAAAGAGCUCAGCGCUGCACAGGCAAGAAUGCAGGUAUACGAUCAAGGAUCUGACAUUAAGAAAGGGGUCAAGCGACCUAUAAGCCAUAAGAUGGCAGUACAUGUUAAGCCAUCAAGUCAAACAAGCUGUCAACAAUCAUCUAUACCCCUUGUUCCACAACAACCUCUGAGUUCUUCCUCAAACCAAGACACUGCAGGUUUAGUUAAGCUACUUGCAGAUGCUUUAAAUGCAAACAGAAUUCCACUACCCGAACCUUCAAUAUUCAGCGGGGAUCCGUUGAAAUACAGUGAUUGGAAGCUGUCGUUCCAAACCUUGAUUGAUCAAAAGAAUAUUCAGAAUAAAGAAAAGAUAUACUACCUUCGUAAAUAUGUUGGUGGACAAGUUAAAAACGCACUAGAUGGUUAUUUCCUGCUUGGAACCGAGUCUGCCUAUGUUUCAGCGUGGGAGAUCCUGGAGGAGAGAUAUGGAAACCCAUUUACAGUUGCAACAGCAUAUAGGGAUAAACUUCAAGCAUGGGCCAAGAUUGGACCUAAAGACAGCACCGAUCUAAGAGAGUUUGCUGAUUUUCUACGGAGCUGCGAAACCGCCAUGGCUCAUAUCAAGGCACUGGAGAUCCUAAAUGACUGCAGUGAAAACAGAAAGAUUCUGGCAAAGUUACCUGAUUGGUUAACUGCAAGAUGGAACCGAAAAGUGAUGGAAAUGGAAGAGGAGAAUGGCCAAUUCCCUUCUUUCAGUCAGUUUGUAAGAUUUCUGACCAGAGAAUCAAAAAUUGCCUGUAAUCCAAUAACAUCAUUGCAAUCAUUAAAGCUAAGUGAUAAAUCCAAACAACAAAAUGUCAAAGUCAAAACAUUAGUCACACGUUCUAAUGAAGAAACUAUCAACAUAUGUGUUUUUUGUAAGAAGCAUGGACAUACUUUGCACACAUGCAGAAAGUUUAUGCAAGAUGAAGUCUCAGACAGAGUUAAAUUUGUCAAGGCUGAAAAGUUGUGUUUUGGAUGCCUCAACUCAGGUCAUUUCUCAAAGAGCUGCAACUGUAGGAGUGUUUGUAAUAUAUGCAAUAAGCAACAUCCUACUUGUCUGCAUGAAGAGCGAGACAAAAGAGAACAAAGGGCAGCACAAGUUAAGCAAAGUCAAGUUCAUGAAACUUUUACUCAAGGAAAUAAUAAAGUCAACCCACAAACAAGGCUAGCAAGAGACAUUGUCACAGCUUCUACCUUCAAGGUCAAUCAAAUUGAAGCUACUUUCCAAACAGCUGCAAUAAUUCCAGUUUGGCUUUCCUAUGCUUCACAGCCAGUUCCGGAAGUGCUUGUUUAUGCACUACUAGAUUCUCAAAGUGACACAACAUUUGUGCUAAGCGAUGCAGCUGACUCUUUGGAGGCACCCAAGGAACAAGUGAAGUUGAAGCUUUCUACAAUGACAUCACAAACUACUACAGUAAGGUCUCAACGAGUAAAUAAUUUACGAGUUCGGGGUUUCUACUCAAAUAAAAUAAUCAAUUUACCACCAGCAUACACACGCGAUUUUAUUCCUGCCAACAGAGCUCACAUACCAACUGACAAAACUGCAGAGGCUUGGUCCCACCUAGAGCACCUGAAGUAUGACAUAGCACCCCUACAGGACUGUGAGGUAGGCCUGCUUAUUGGCUACAACUGCUCACAAGCCUUUCUACCAAGGGAAGUUGUGUCUGGUCAAGACAAUGAGCCCUUUGCUCAACGCACAGAUCUUGGAUGGAGCAUUGUUGGUCAUAGCAAUCCCUGUGUCAAGUAUGGAGAUGCAAUAGGAGUUAGUCAUCGUAUAGUUGUCCGUCAAGUGAAACCAAAGGUUGACUCUGCUCUCAAUCUAAAGGGUGAAGUUCACUAUGUGAACAGAUCAAAGGUUAAAGAAAGGAAAUCCAACUUGUUCUCAGGACCAACAUGUCUCUGGCAAAAUGAACUACCUGCUUCUAAAUACAAGAUAGAAGUACAAGAUGAUGAUCCUGAACUCCGCAGGGCUUCAGUGUUUAACACAAAGGCAAAGGAGAGCAGAUCACAUUUAGAGCGCUUUGAGAAGUUCUCUGACUGGUCAAGAUUAGUGAAAGCUGUUGCCAGAUUGAAGAGACGAGUCGCGGAACACAAAAGGUUGAAACAAAGAACCAAUGAGGGAACAAGCUUGGAGGAAAGAAAAGACGCAGAAAUUGCUAUUGUCAAGCAGGUUCAAAGGGAAGCAUUUCCAGAUGAGAUACAAAGCUUAAAGGCAAAGGAAGGUGUGGUUAAAACCAAGUACAGCAAGCUGAAAGGGUUAAAUCCCACCUUGGAUGAAGAUGGAGUUUUGAGAGUAGGAGGACGUUUAAAUCAAUCAGCGUUACAUCCUCACAUAAAACAUCCAGUAAUACUACCAAAGAACAGCCAUAUAUCCUCUCUGCUUGUCAAGCAUUUUCAUGAAAGGAUUCAUCAUCAGGGACGUGGAAUGACCGUAAAUGAACUCAGAGCAAAUGGAUGGUGGAUCCUAGGAAGCAGUGGCAUUGUAUCAUCACACAUCUUUAAAUGUGUUAAGUGUCGAAAGUACCGAAGAUGUACUGAAACCCAAAAGAUGGGUGACUUACCUCAAGACAGAAUGGAAACAAUGCCUCCAUUCACCUACACUGGCAUGGAUUGCUUUGGACCAAUCUAUGUAAAAGAGGGAAGAAAAGAGGUUAAAAGGUAUGGACUUCUACUCACCUGUUUAUGUUCAAGAGCCAUACACAUCGAAAUGCUUGACGAUAUGACCACUGACGCAUUCAUCAAUGCAUUAAGAGCCUUUAUUGCUAUAAGAGGAAAUGUCCGUCUACUUCGAUGUGACCAAGGAACCAAUUUCAUUGGUGCAAAAAGGGAGCUUGCAGAACUCAUAAAAGGAAUGGAAGAAGAAAGGGUCAAAACUCUAAAAUGUGAAUUCCUAAUGAAUCCCCCAGCAGCAAGCCACAUGGGUGGGAUCUGGGAACGACAGAUUAGGACUAUUCGAAGUGUUCUCACAAGCAUUCUGGACAAUUCAGCUCAAAGACUGGACAGUUCAUCUCUAAGAACUUUGUUUUAUGAAAUUAUGGCGAUUGUCAAUAGCCGACCGCUUACAGUUGAGAAUUUGAAUGAUCCAUCUGCACCUGAACCUUUAACUCCAAAUCACAUUCUUACAAUGAAGUCAACAAUUAUUUUUCCUCCACCUGGGCAGUUUGUCAAAGAAGACCUGUAUCUGAAAAAAAGGUGGCGCAGAGUCCAGUAUUUGGCCAAUGAAUUUUGGAUUCGUUGGAAAAGGGAAUAUCUGCUGAGUUUACAACAAAGACAAAAAUGGCAGAAAACCAGAAGAAACAUGAAGGUGAAUGACAUCGUGCUUUUACAGAACGAGCAGGCACCACGAAAUGAAUGGAAACUAGCCAGAAUAGCCGAGGUCUAUCCAGGGUUAGAUGAAAAAGUAAGAAAAGUAAGAUUGUUGGUUGGUGAUACCACAUUUGACGGAAAGGGUAAACCUACGACUAAAACAGUGUUCCUUGACAGACCUGUACAUAAACUUGUUACAUUGAUUGAAGCAAAUGAAAGUAAUUAAGUCUGACCAGCCCCUAAGUUUCCUUAGAAAUCCCACACUGGGUUUUGUGUGAUUUGGUGGGAGUGUAACUGCAGUUGCUGUUUAUUUCUUCAUUUAUUUAUUUUCCCAUUUGUAAGACACUGGGUUAGUUGUGUUUCCUGUAAUUUUAUUUUGAAAAGCGACAUGAGCUGCUCUGCCAGCCACACCCUUGAUUUGAUGGAUACAAGCCAGGUGUGAGGAACACAGAACCUGGAUGAAGUGCUAACAAGCAGACAGCUAAUGGACUGCUAAAGAACUAACUAGUAAAAGGACUUAAAGGAAACUAGUAAAAGGACUUAAAGGAAGAUGGAUUCCCUUUGUGUUUUAAGCAAACAGCCAACGAGUUUCACGGUUUAAGAGAGGUCUAAAGAAAGGAGGACAGAAGAGGUCCACAAUGAAAAGACGUCCAAUAAACCCGUAAAAGAAAUCACUUGCGUCUGUGUUGCUUGGAGG
Non-coding RNA from Nothobranchius furzeri (turquoise killifish), 7015 nucleotides. Lineage: Eukaryota; Metazoa; Chordata; Actinopteri; Cyprinodontiformes; Nothobranchiidae. The record is from RefSeq and is a predicted model, not a curated record.